UAAGAAAAAAUGCACAGUAAGAUCAUAAACAGGAGUCAAAAGUCAAUUGAAAAAAGUUGUGACAGUUACGGGAAUAAUCAUGGAACAACCUAUUUGUCUUAGCCCUUUAUUCGCUGUUCUUUCUAAUUAUUAUUAAUCCUUUGAAAACCCAUUGAGGUCAAGACCUUUUUCACAAGGGUAACAAAUAUAAACAUCAGAAAUAUCUAUCUACCUACCGAUAUCUAUCGAUCUAUCAAUAACUUGGUCAUGAUUAGGAGCUACGACUACAGGGAAUCUUUGAGUGGACAGUCUGGAAUUCCAGAAAAUCAAAGUUCUGCGUGUUUGGAAGUCCAACAUGGUUUCCUUAGUUCAAUAUUUUCUUCAAAGAACUUUGUCAAGUAGUUUGUUAGGG
Molecule: long non-coding RNA, 391 nt
Organism: Xiphophorus couchianus (Monterrey platyfish)
Lineage: Eukaryota; Metazoa; Chordata; Actinopteri; Cyprinodontiformes; Poeciliidae
Exons: 3
Source: RefSeq, a predicted model, not a curated record